RNAcentral lists this ribosomal RNA (253 nucleotides) under uncultured bacterium. Its description in RNAcentral is "partial 16S ribosomal RNA". It matches the Rfam family "Bacterial small subunit ribosomal RNA", at positions 524 to 776 of the family's 1533-position model. The record is from RNAcentral.
UACGUAGGGUGCGAGCGUUAAUCGGAAUUACUGGGCGUAAAGCGUGCGUAGGUGGUUCGUUGUGUCUGUGGUGAAAGCCCCGGGCUUAACCUGGGAAUGGCCAUGGAAACUGGCGAGCUGGAGUGUGGCAGAGGGGGGUGGAAUUCCGCGUGUAGCAGUGAAAUGCGUAGAGAUGCGGAGGAACACCGAUGGCGAAGGCAGCCCCCUGGGCUAACACUGACGCUGAGGUGCGAAAGCGUGGGGAGCAAACAGG